This 72-nucleotide transfer RNA is filed under the name Marmota monax (woodchuck). RNAcentral's name for it is "tRNA.Ala". Lineage: Eukaryota; Metazoa; Chordata; Mammalia; Rodentia; Sciuridae. The record is from RNAcentral.
UGGGUUGGGGCUCGGCGGCAGAGUGCUCGCCUGGCACGUGCGAGACGCUGGGUUCGAUCCUCAGCACCACAU